CUUAGUGGCGGACGGGUGAGUAACGCGUGGGGAACCUGCCCUGUACAGGGGGAUAACACUUAGAAAUAGGUGCUAAUACCGCAUAAGCGCACAGUAUCGCAUGAUACAGUGUGAAAAACUCCGGUGGUACAGGAUGGACCCGCGUCUGAUUAGCUGGUUGGCGGGGUAACGGCCCACCAAGGCGACGAUCAGUAGCCGGCCUGAGAGGGUGAACCGGCCACAUUGGGACUGAGACACGGCCCAAACUCCUACGGAAGGCAGCAG
RNAcentral lists this ribosomal RNA (264 nucleotides) under uncultured bacterium. Its description in RNAcentral is "partial 16S ribosomal RNA". It matches the Rfam family "Bacterial small subunit ribosomal RNA", at positions 91 to 354 of the family's 1533-position model. The record is from RNAcentral.